UGGAAAUUUGAGCAGGUGCUCUCCAAA
RNAcentral lists this non-coding RNA (27 nucleotides) under Mus musculus (house mouse). The record is from RNAcentral. Lineage: Eukaryota; Metazoa; Chordata; Mammalia; Rodentia; Muridae.